AUACGGAGGAUCCGAGCGUUAUCCGGAUUUAUUGGGUUUAAAGGGUGCGCAGGCGGCCAUUUAAGUCAGCGGUUAAAUCGUGGGGCUCAACCCCAUUCUGCCGUUGAUACUGGGUGGCUUGAUUGCGGUCGAGGUUGGCGGAAUUCGUUGUGUAGCGGUGAAAUGCAUAGAUAUGACGAAGAACACCGAUUGCGUAGGCAGCUGACCAGACCGCAAAUGACGCUCAUGCACGAAAGUGCGGGGAUCGAACAGGAUUAGAUACCCUGGUAGUCCGCACAGUAAACGAUGAAUGCUUGGUUUGGGCGAUAUAAUGUCGGAGGCAAAGCGAAAGCGAUAAGUAUUCCACCUGGGGAGUACGCCGGCAACGGUGAAACUCAAAUGAAUUGACGGGG
RNAcentral lists this ribosomal RNA (392 nucleotides) under uncultured bacterium. Its description in RNAcentral is "partial 16S ribosomal RNA". It matches the Rfam family "Bacterial small subunit ribosomal RNA", at positions 523 to 918 of the family's 1533-position model. The record is from RNAcentral.